Molecule: long non-coding RNA, 503 nt
Organism: Hemicordylus capensis (graceful crag lizard)
Lineage: Eukaryota; Metazoa; Chordata; Lepidosauria; Squamata; Cordylidae
Exons: 3
Source: RefSeq, a predicted model, not a curated record
GAGCUAAUAUCUCUGUAUAAAGUAAGCCAACUGUAUUGGUUUAAAAUGGGGAAAAUAGUAACCCUAAUUUACCAUCUCGAAACAACCAACUGUCUUCAUAUUACAGGAGGUAGCAGCUACACUCCCCUAGAUGCACACUUACCUCUCGUGAAUUCCCUCUAGAUUACUGCAGUUGCUUAGAGUGUUUAUCAGGCACACAGUAGGCAGCUGGUGGCUCAGCUGCAGCCUCCUUGAAGCACCGCCGCAGCCAAGUAAGAAGCCAGCAUGAUAAGAGGAGACAUUUUUAUAAACUAGGCCGAAACAGCAGAGAGCACACCUGCGUGUCACAUACCCCCAGCACUUGAAUGAAGCAUCUUGCUACCUGAAUAAUGCUAUUUCCUUUCUUGAGGAUAAAAACAAGGCUGGUCACCUUCUUCAGGACAUGAUGACUAUCUCCAGUGAUAGACAUAUUCCAGAUAUAACUCCAGAUAUCAUCUUCUAGCAAUAAGCUCCCAUGAACAGAC